UUAAAAUACAAUAAAUAUGGCUGCUAUCAUUGAAAACUCAAUCACAGUAUAAAAAUAAUAAUGUAUAAUAUAAUGCAGCAUUUUAAUAAUAAUAAUUUAUUGUGGAAUAAUUUUAAUAUUUAUAUAAUCUAAGCAUAUUGAUUAAUGUUUAACAUAUAAUUUGUGAAACGUGAUUUUGCUAAGAAUAUGUUAUAACUAUUAAUAUGUGUGAUUGGGAUUGUGAAGUAGAUGAAGAUUGGGUGAAUUUUUUAAAGGAAUUCACUCAACCACUAACUCAAGAACCUAUAGUAGAAGAUGAUCCGGAAGCAGAUCCAGAAUAUAAUGUUUCAGAUGAUGAAGAAACAGAAUUUUUGGAUAAAGAAGAGUUACGAGCUGAUAAAGCUGUAAAAGUUUCACGCAAGGAAUUAAAUGAUUUGAUUGCAGAAUUAUUUGAGUUUACAGAUACAUAUUCUAAACAAGAACAAGAAAGUUCAAAAAAGAAAAAAUCUUUAGAAAAUACAAAUUUUCCACAAAUACAAAUUGGAAAUGAUAUUGUGAAUGAAUCUGUAACAGAUAUAUUAUCUACUUACAAAGAAACUGACCAUUCCAAUUUAAUAAAUCCAAAUCAAAAAGAAUUAUUAGCAGUUCAAUUUCGUCAACAUGUUCAAUUAAUGGUGCAACAUUUUGCUAUGACAUAUAUGCAUCCAGAUUUACAUUCUCAAUCACAAACAUGUAAACAAAAUUUAAAUAGUAUAAAAUAUUUAAGUAAUGGACCUAAUUCUGCAUUUAAUGUGAUAAAUUUACCAGAUGCUUUAAAACUAAUAUUUGAUUGGGAAAAAAAAUUUUUGGAUAAUGAAUUUUCUGAAGAUUUUAAAAAGACUCUUAUAGAUGAAGAUCCAAUAAAGAAAAUAUAUCUUGUACAAAAACAUAAAGGUGCAUCUAUUUUUCAUCCAGAAUUAAAAAAACUAUUUAUGGAAAGUAAAGCUUUAAUGUAUCCACAACUUUUACCUGAAAUACCAUUUAGACCUGAAUCAAUUAAAUUUGUACGACUUCCAUAUUUAAAAUCUGAAGAAAAUUUAAUUGCAUUAGGUUUGGAACAAUUUCUUCCUUUUGUUGCAUCUAAACCAAGAAAAUUUAAGAGUAAAAAACUUCAAUUAAUUGAUGCAGUACAAUUAAUUAUUCAAUAUUUAAUACCAUGUAGAGAACCUCAUGGAUUAAUAUAUCAUAUUCGGAAACGUCGAUGCGCAAAACAUGCAAAUCCAAUAAAACAUUAUUUCGAAAAAGGUUCUGCUCCAAGAACAAUACAUUACAUUACAUUGGAAUGUGAUCUCAAAGCUCCAAAAGAUCAAUCAAUAAAUCUAUUACCUUCAGUAUGGCAGACUUAUCUUAGUAAUACACACACAGAACAAAAAGUUGAUGUAUUAAAACGAAAAUAUAUACUUAAUUCACAUAAUGAUGUUAUGAAAAAAGAUUGUUUUACAAAUGGAAAUAGAAAUCAUAUUUCUAAUACUGUUCUGUUAUACAAUUCAUCUAUUAAUAUAUUACCAAAAAUAUUACCUGCAAAUCAGAAGAUAAGUAAAAAUAUAUCAAAAGACAAUUUGUGUUUAAAUGAAAAUUCUAAUUCUAAAAUUUUGAAAAAUAUUUCAAAUAAUGGAACUAAUAUUGAAUUACAUAAUAUACAUACAUUAAAUAAAGAGCGUAACAAUUCUUUAAAAAUCAUGACAUCACAAGAAAAAAAAGAGAAAAAGAUAGAUGGAAAUGAAUUUAAAAAAAUUCAAAAUGAUACAAAUCUUAUAUCAACACACUCGAAAUUUCGUAAAAAAUCUUCUGAAAUAGUACAAGAAUUACCACAAUUACGAAAAACUACACCUAGAUUAGCAAAAACAAGAAGUGCUCAAAACAUGAAAUUAAUGGCUCAAGUUUUAGGACCAAAAGCUUUAUCAUCUAAUAAUAAUACUUUAAAGUCUAGAGAAAAAAAUGAAAUAGAUACAAAUUUAGAAAAAAUAUCAACUUUACCUAAGAUAGAUAAUGAAGAUGAAAUAGCAGAAUUAAUGUUAGCUAGUACAACAAUUAAGAAAGAUUCUAUUAGUAGAAAGAAAGCAAAAGAAGCUAGAGAAUUAGAAAAUAUUAAAAGACUUUUAGAAUCUGAAAAUCCACUAAAUGAAGAAGAAAGAGGUUCAAAAUUUGCAGCAUCAUAUCUUCAAAAAUUACAUUUAACAUUAGAAUCUAAUAAUCCAACAACAUUACGAUCUAUUAUAAAAUUAUAUUUAGAUUAUUAUGAAAAAUUAGAUAAUAUUAAUCAGAUGGAGAAUGAAUUAUCAUUUUCUCGAUCAAGAUGUUCUCAAAAUGAACAAAUUAUGGAAAAAACUGCAAAAGAUAAAGAUACAAUAACUAUCAAUUUGUAUCAAGAUGUAUGUGAAAAAUUACGAGAAUAUCCUGAACUUUGUACAGAUUUUUUAUUGUUUUUAAAACCACAUCAAGCUGCAAUGAUAGAUAAGUCAGUGGAAUAUAUAAUGCUUCAAAAGAUGAACGAAUUUGUUAAUGUAGCUCAAAUAUAUUUUGCUAAACAACCUUCUCGAAUAGCAAAAAUGAUGCAAGCUAUUACACAGCUUUCAUCUGAUACACAGAUAACAUUAGAACAUAUUCAUGCGACUAUGGGCCCUAUACUUAAGGGACAUCCUUUAGUUAUGGAUUUAUUUUUACAAAUAUUACCUACUGCUAAACCACCAGACAGUUUAUUUGCAUCACAUAUGUUUGAAAAUUUAACAUGCCCAGUAGGACCACAUGAUAAAAGUAAAAUUUAUACUGAAGAUGCACCUGAAUUAUAUGAAAAUAUAGAAUUACCAGUAUUAUCACUUCAAGAAGAUCCUUAUGGUGGAGAAAAUUGCAAGUGUAAUUGUCACAAUGGUGAUGAAACCACUUGUAAGAAUAUUUCUGAACAUUGCAUUUCUUGUGGUACAAGGUUUUUAAAUGGAAAAAUUUAUCUUCAAACAUCUGAAGGCCUAAGACCUGCAAAAAUUAUUUUUCCUGGAGCUGAUGAAGAAAAAUUGGAAAAUAUUGCUCGUGUAUCUUUAAAAAUUACUGAUAAAUUUACUUCAUCUAUUUCAUCUAAACAACGAAGAAAAUCUUCGAAAAAUGAAUUUCAUAGUGAUGAACAAUCUUGUUUAUCAAAAAGUUUACCUAUUAAAGAAAAUGAAGAUGGAGAAAAGUUAAUUGUAAAAUCUAAAAAAACUAUAAAAUCUCCAUCAAAAUCAACAGAUCAGAAAAAAAAUUUAAAAAGAUCUGGAAAUGAAAUAAAUCACAUAAAGAAUAGAAAUACAAAAAAAAUACGCAUAUCCCAAUGUAAAAAUAAAAGAAAAAAUAAAGUUGACAAAUUAGAAGCAAAAUUAGAAUAUGUAGAUUCAAAUGUUAAUCAUAUAAAAUCAAAUAAAUAUUUAUCUAUUGACUAUAAAAAUUCUGAUAAAAAAACAUUAGUGAAAAAUAUAGAAAUUGAAAUGUCGAAUGAUAAUAUAAGAAAAAUUGAUUCAAAUUGUGAAAUAAAAAAUAUUAAUUUAAAUACAAAUGUAAAUAUUAAAUCAUGGACACGACAAGAAGAUAUGAUUCUGUUACAAGCUAUUAAAAAAGAAUAUUCUGAAAAUUCACUUGCCAUGGUUAGUAAAAUACUAGGGAAUCGUACAAUUGACCAAGUUAAAGAAAGAUGUGAAACUCUUCUUUCUUUAUUAGAAAAAAUGAUGUAAUUGUAUUAGAAAAAAAGAAAUAUAUAUAUAUAGUUGUUUAUUGUUGAUAACUUGAUAAAUUGGCAAGAACAAAGAGAGUACUUUUUUCUUUUGCUACAAUGAUCUUAAGUUAUCAGUUCUUCAUAUAAGUAUUUAAAUAUCUAAAAUUCAUUCAUAAAAAUAUAUAUAUUGAUCGAAAAUCUUCAAAUAAAAUCAUACAAUAUUAAUUGUAUAUGAUGAGCAAUAGAAAAGUAUUAAAUGGAAAAUAUUCUCAUUCUGUCAUCUUGCUAAUCAACUUGUUAUUUUUGCGAUAUAUAUACAUACGNUAUAAAUUU
This is an RNA transcript of Apis dorsata (giant honeybee), 4030 nucleotides long. It is a transcript of the gene named GON-4-like protein, with no coding region annotated. Lineage: Eukaryota; Metazoa; Arthropoda; Insecta; Hymenoptera; Apidae. The transcript has 13 exons. The record is from RefSeq and is a predicted model, not a curated record.